Molecule: non-coding RNA, 125 nt
Organism: Triticum aestivum (bread wheat)
Lineage: Eukaryota; Viridiplantae; Streptophyta; Magnoliopsida; Poales; Poaceae
Source: Rfam
AAUAUACUCCCUCCGUCCAGAAAUACUCGUCGGAGGAAUGGAUGUAUCUAGAUGUAUUUUAGUUCUAGAUACAUUCAUUUUCAUGCAUUUUUUCGACAGGUAUUUCCGGACGAAGGGAGUACAUG